GGGACAUUUGUGUGUGUGUGUGUGUGUGUGUGUGUGUGUGUGUGUGUGCGCGCGUGCGUGUGCGCGCGC
Molecule: microRNA precursor, 69 nt
Filed under: Otolemur garnettii (small-eared galago)
Lineage: Eukaryota; Metazoa; Chordata; Mammalia; Primates; Galagidae
Description: miRNA (ENSOGAG00000021286.2)
Source: RNAcentral